GGCCGGUGGCUGGUUCGG
This 18-nucleotide unclassified non-coding RNA is filed under the name Chlamydomonas reinhardtii. Its description in RNAcentral is "small RNA Cre_1852". The record is from RNAcentral. Lineage: Eukaryota; Viridiplantae; Chlorophyta; Chlorophyceae; Chlamydomonadales; Chlamydomonadaceae.